RNAcentral lists this ribosomal RNA (253 nucleotides) under uncultured bacterium. RNAcentral's name for it is "partial 16S ribosomal RNA". It matches the Rfam family "Bacterial small subunit ribosomal RNA", at positions 524 to 776 of the family's 1533-position model. The record is from RNAcentral.
UACAGAGGUCCCGAGCGUUGUUCGGAUUCAUUGGGCGUAAAGGGUGCGUAGGCGGCGGGGAAAGUCUGAUGUGAAAUCCUGGGGCUCAACCCUGGAACUGCAUUGGAUACUUCCUUGCUAGAGUACUGGAGAGGGAACUGGAAUUUACGGUGUAGCAGUGAAAUGCGUAGAGAUCGUAAGGAAGACCAGUGGCGAAGGCGAGUUUCUGGACAGUUACUGACGCUGAGGCACGAAGGCCAGGGGAGCAAACGGG